Molecule: ribosomal RNA, 364 nt
Filed under: Neverita josephinia (Josephine's Moon Snail)
Lineage: Eukaryota; Metazoa; Mollusca; Gastropoda; Littorinimorpha; Naticidae
Description: SSU rRNA
Rfam family: Eukaryotic small subunit ribosomal RNA
Source: RNAcentral
CCAUGCAUGUCUAAGUUCACACCCUCGUACGGUGAAACCGCGAAUGGCUCAUUAAAUCAGUCGAGGUUCCUUAGAUGGUCCAAAUUUACUUGGAUAACUGUGGUAAUUCUAGAGCUAAUACAUGCCCACCAGCUUCGACCCGUGCCGCAAGGUAAGGGAAAGAGCGCUUUUAUUAGUUCAAAACCAGUCGGGUUCUCUUCGGGGGCUCGUCCGUUGGUGACUCUGGAUAACUUUGUGCCGAUCGCAUGGCCUCGAGCCGGCGACGCAUCUUUCAAAUGUCUGCCCUAUCAAAUGACGAUGGUACGUGACCUGCCUACCAUGUUGGCAACGGGUAGCGGGGAAUCAGGGUUCGAUUCCGGAGAGG